CCUUGUACACAUCGCCCGUCACACCACGAAAGUCGGCAAUACCCGAGCCGGUGGGCUAACCCGCAAGGGAGGCAGCCGUCGAAGGUAGGGUCGAUGAUUGGGGGUG
Molecule: ribosomal RNA, 106 nt
Filed under: uncultured bacterium
Lineage: Bacteria
Description: partial 16S ribosomal RNA
Rfam family: Bacterial small subunit ribosomal RNA
Source: RNAcentral